This is a transfer RNA of Toxocara canis (dog roundworm), 72 nucleotides long. It matches the Rfam family "tRNA". From Rfam's summary of the family: Transfer RNA (tRNA) molecules are approximately 80 nucleotides in length. Their secondary structure includes four short double-helical elements and three loops (D, anti-codon, and T loops). The record is from Rfam. Lineage: Eukaryota; Metazoa; Nematoda; Chromadorea; Rhabditida; Toxocaridae.
GCCUCGGUGGCUCACGGGCAGAGCGUCUGUCUCGUAAACAGAAGGCGGCUGGUUCGAUUCCAGCACGAGGCA